RNAcentral lists this ribosomal RNA (167 nucleotides) under uncultured Parvimonas sp. Its description in RNAcentral is "partial 16S ribosomal RNA". It matches the Rfam family "Bacterial small subunit ribosomal RNA", at positions 340 to 524 of the family's 1533-position model. Lineage: Bacteria; Bacillati; Bacillota; Tissierellia; Tissierellales; Peptoniphilaceae. The record is from RNAcentral.
UACGGGAGGCAGCAGUGGGGAAUAUUGCACAAUGGGGGGAACCCUGAUGCAGCGACGCCGCGUGAGCGAAGAAGGUUUUCGAAUCGUAAAGCUCUGUCCUAUGAGAAGAUAAUGACGGUAUCAUAGGAGGAAGCCCCGGCUAAAUACGUGCCAGCAGCCGCGGUAAU